RNAcentral lists this ribosomal RNA (492 nucleotides) under uncultured bacterium. RNAcentral describes it as "partial 16S ribosomal RNA". It matches the Rfam family "Bacterial small subunit ribosomal RNA", at positions 29 to 507 of the family's 1533-position model. The record is from RNAcentral.
AGUGAACGCUGGCGGUAGGCCUAACACAUGCAAGUCGAACGGCAGCACAGUAAGAGCUUGCUCUUACGGGUGGCGAGUGGCGGACGGGUGAGGAAUACAUCGGAAUCUACUUUUUCGUGGGGGUUAACGUAGGGAAACUUACGCUAAUACCGCAUACGACCUACGGGUGAAAGCAGGGGAUCUUCGGACCUUGCGCGAUUGAAUGAGCCGAUGUCGGAUUAGCUAGUUGGCGGGGUAAAGGCCCACCAAGGCGACGAUACGUAGCUGGUCUGAGAGACGGAUAAGCCACACUGGAGCGUGGCCACGGUCAAGACUACUGAGGGAGGGAGCAGUGGGGAAUAUGGGACAGUGGGCGGGAGCCUGAUACAGCCAUCCCGCGUGGGUGAAGAAGGCCUUCCGGUUGUAAAGCCCGUUUGUUGGGAAAGAAAAGCAGCCGGUUAUUACCACGCUGUUCUGACGGUACCCAAAGAAUAAGCACCGGCUAACUUCGUG